Molecule: ribosomal RNA, 709 nt
Filed under: Plumularia setacea
Lineage: Eukaryota; Metazoa; Cnidaria; Hydrozoa; Leptothecata; Plumulariidae
Description: eukaryotic LSU rRNA
Rfam family: 5.8S ribosomal RNA (bases 331-484)
Source: RNAcentral
UUUAAUGAGAACUCCGGAUUGGCCUCCUUUGCGCUGCCUCGUGUGGUGCAUUGCGUGGCCGAGAAGUUGUUCAAAUUUGAUCAUUUAGAGGAAGUAAAAGUCGUAACAAGGUUUCCGUAGGUGAACCUGCGGAAGGAUCAUUACUGUACCUUUGUGUAAUAACAAACCGAAUACACUGUGAACUCACUGUGGGACCGGCGCGGGAUCGUGUGCGUGCGUGCGUCCAGUCAGUCAGUCUGACUGGCUGGCGCCGCACACGAGUCGCCUCUAGUUACCUUUUUAAACGUACCUAUUGUAGCCAACUAACGAGCGAAAGUAUUAAAAAGAGAAAACUGCUGACGGCGGAUCUCUUGGUUCGUGUAUCGAUGAAGAACGUAGCCAGUUGCGAAAAGUAAUGUGAAUUGCAGAAUGAAGUGAAUCAUCGAAUCUUUGAACGCAAAUUGCACUCUUUGGAAUUCCAUUGAGUAUGUCUGUCUGAGUGUCUUGACAAACCUUACACCUUCGGUGUGAACUCGGGCUUCCGGCUGCCUUUCGGGGCGGCUCGUGCCUGCAAGACCCUACUCGGCAACGCUUGAGACAACAACGUUUGAUCUUAGACAAGCUCCGUCCGAGUCCAACUCCAUUCAAUCAUGGACCUCAGAUCAGGCAAGACUACCCGCUGAAUUUAAGCAUAUUAAUAAGCGGAGGAAAAGAAACUAACUAGGAUUCC